GUUAAAAAGCUCGUAGUUGGAUUUCUGGAUCGAGCGCUCUGUCCGUCGCUGUGCGAUGCGUACUUGAGUCGUCUCGUUUCAUCCUUGCAGGGAAGCGCGUUCGACAUUUGUUUGUCGACGCGGGGAACUGCAUCUUUUACUGUGAAAAAAUUAGAGUGUUUAAAGCAGGCAUUUUGCUGUGAAUACAUUAGCAUGGAAUAAUAACAUAGGACCCUGGUUCUAUUUUGUUGGUUGGAGGCCAAGGUAAUGAUUAAUAGGGACAGUUGGGGGUAUUCAUAUUUAAUUGUCAGAGGUGAAAUUCUUGGAUUUAUGAAAGAUGAACUCAUGCGAAAGCAUUUACCAAGGAUGUUUUCAUUAAUCAAGAACGAAAGUUAGGGGAUCGAAGAGGAUUAGAUACCCUCGUAGUCUUAACCAUAAACUAUGCCGACUAGGGAUUGGCGGACGUACUUUUUAUGGCUCCGUCAGCACCUUAC
RNAcentral lists this ribosomal RNA (473 nucleotides) under uncultured marine eukaryote. Its description in RNAcentral is "SSU rRNA". It matches the Rfam family "Eukaryotic small subunit ribosomal RNA", at positions 618 to 1091 of the family's 1831-position model. The record is from RNAcentral.